CACGUAGGGUGCGAGCGUUGUCCGGAAUUAUUGGGCGUAAAGAGCUCGUAGGCGGUGUGUCGCGUCGGCCGUGAAAACCUGCAGCUUAACUGUGGGCUUGCGGUCGAUACGGGCAUCACUGGAGUUCGGCAGGGGAGACUGGAAUUCCUGGUGUAGCGGUGAAAUGCGCAGAUAUCAGGAGGAACGCCGGUGGCGAAGGCGGGUCUCUGGGCAGUAACUGACGCUGAGGAGCGAAAGCGUGGGGAGCGAACAGG
This 254-nucleotide ribosomal RNA is filed under the name uncultured bacterium. RNAcentral describes it as "partial 16S ribosomal RNA". It matches the Rfam family "Bacterial small subunit ribosomal RNA", at positions 524 to 776 of the family's 1533-position model. The record is from RNAcentral.